This 242-nucleotide ribosomal RNA is filed under the name uncultured bacterium. RNAcentral describes it as "partial 16S ribosomal RNA". It matches the Rfam family "Bacterial small subunit ribosomal RNA", at positions 114 to 353 of the family's 1533-position model. The record is from RNAcentral.
AACGUGGGUAACCUGCCUUAUAGUGGGGGAGUAGCCUUUCAAAGAAGAUUAAUACCGCAUAAGAUUGUAGUAUCGCAUGAUAUAGCAAUUAAAGGAGCAAUUCGCUAUAAGAUGGACCCGCGUCGCAUUAGCUAGUUGGUGAGGUAAUGGCUCACCAAGGCGACGAUGCGUAGCCGACCUGAGAGGGUGAUCGGCCACAUUGGGACUGAGACACGGCCCAGACUCCUACGGGAGGCAGCAUG